This 299-nucleotide unclassified non-coding RNA is filed under the name Hevea brasiliensis (rubber tree). Lineage: Eukaryota; Viridiplantae; Streptophyta; Magnoliopsida; Malpighiales; Euphorbiaceae. The record is from RNAcentral.
GUCGAAUCCUCAUAACUAUCUAAUUCCCGAAGCAUUUUUGCAAUGGAUUCUCCCUGGGGUUUUACACUGUCAGAAUUCCCUUUAGGUGUAUUAUUGGAGGGGUGGUGUGACUCUGUGGAUUGUGCAGAUGCUUUUAGACGCAAAAGUUCUUGUUCAAGCCUUUGGAGAUCAUCCUUGUGGCGCUGAAAAUCUAUCUCUAUCUUAAGGCGUAAUGACUCGAGCUUUCGUUUACUACUCACCUCCGCUGCUUCUUUACUACGUCUUUCAUCUUCCACUUGUGCCAUGGCAGCCUCUUUAGC